RNAcentral lists this ribosomal RNA (253 nucleotides) under uncultured bacterium. Its description in RNAcentral is "partial 16S ribosomal RNA". It matches the Rfam family "Bacterial small subunit ribosomal RNA", at positions 524 to 776 of the family's 1533-position model. The record is from RNAcentral.
UACGUAGGGUGCAAGCGUUAAUCGGAAUUACUGGGCGUAAAGCGUGCGCAGGCGGUUUUGUAAGUCUGACGUGAAAUCCCCGGGCUCAACCUGGGAAUUGCGUUGGAGACUGCAAGGCUAGAAUCUGGCAGAGGGGGGUAGAAUUCCACGUGUAGCAGUGAAAUGCGUAGAGAUGUGGAGGAACACCGAUGGCGAAGGCAGCCCCCUGGGUCAAGAUUGACGCUCAUGCACGAAAGCGUGGGGAGCAAACAUG